This 465-nucleotide ribosomal RNA is filed under the name uncultured bacterium. RNAcentral's name for it is "partial 16S ribosomal RNA". It matches the Rfam family "Bacterial small subunit ribosomal RNA", at positions 338 to 795 of the family's 1533-position model. The record is from RNAcentral.
CCUACGGGAGGCAGCAGUAGGGAAUCUUCCACAAUGGGCGAAAGCCUGAUGGAGCAACGCCGCGUGGGUGAAGAAGGUCUUCGGAUCGUAAAACCCUGUUGUUAGAGAAGAAAGUGCGUGAGAGUAACUGUUCACGUUUCGACGGUAUCUAACCAGAAAGCCACGGCUAACUACGUGCCAGCAGCCGCGGUAAUACGUAGGUUGCAAGCGUUAUCCGGAAUUAUUGGGCGUAAAGGGCACGCAGGCGGUCUUUUAAGUCUGAUGUGAAAGCCGUCGGCUUAACCGGAGUAGUGCAUUGGAUACUGGGUGACUUGAGUGCAGUAGAGGAGAGUGGAAUUCCAUGUGUAGCGGUGAAAUGCGUAGAUAUAUGGAAGAAUACCGAUGGCGAAGGCAGCUCUCUGGUCUGUAACUGACGCUGAGGUUCGAAAGCGUGGGUAGCAAACAGGAUUAGAUACCCUGGUAGUC